AACUCAACUCAACUCCGUUGCCUUCAUUGCAUGUUGCUUUUGCAUCGUGGUUUUUGGGAUUUACGAAGAUUUGUAGCGGUUCUAUUUCAUUAUCGCAAAUUUUUAUUUUCACCUAAUUUUUUGAAAAUGCAGAACGACAGUGGAGAUUACGUUGAUUUAUACAUUCCUCGUAAAUGCUCAGCUAGUAAUAGGAUCAUACAUGCAAAGGAUCAUGCAUCAAUUCAAAUAAACAUUUCUGAGGUUGAUGAAGCAACUGGACGCUUUACAGGAAGUUCUGUACCAUAUGCCAUUUGUGGUGAAAUAAGAAGAAUGG
Molecule: long non-coding RNA, 313 nt
Organism: Uloborus diversus
Lineage: Eukaryota; Metazoa; Arthropoda; Arachnida; Araneae; Uloboridae
Exons: 3
Source: RefSeq, a predicted model, not a curated record